UGCUACACAUGCAGUCGAACGCUGAAGCCGACAGCUUGCUGUUGGUGGAUGAGUGGCGAACGGGUGAGUAACACGUGAGUAACCUGCCCCUGAUUUCGGGAUAAGCCUGGGAAACCGGGUCUAAUACCGGAUACGACCGACCCUCGCAUGAGGGUUGGUGGAAAGUUUUUCGAUCGGGGAUGGGCUCGCGGCCUAUCAGCUUGUUGGUGGGGUAAUGGCCUACCAAGGCGACGACGGGUAGCCGGCCUGAGAGGGCGACCGGCCACACUGGGACUGAGACACGGCCCAGACUCCUACGGGAGGCAGCAGUGGGGAAUAUUGCACAAUGGGGGAAACCCUGAUGCAGCGACGCAGCGUGCGGGAUGACGGCCUUCGGGUUGUAAACCGCUUUCAGCAGGGAAGAAGCGAAAGUGACGGUACCUGCAGAAGAAGUACCGGCUAACUACGUGCCAGCAGCCGCGGUAAUACGUAGGGUACGAGCGUUGUCCGGAAUUAUUGGGCGUAAAGAGCUCGUAGGUGGUUGGUCACGUCUGCUGUGGAAACGCAACGCUUAACGUUGCGCGUGCAGUGGGUACGGGCUGACUAGAGUGCAGUAGGGGAGUCUGGAAUUCCUGGUGUAGCGGUGAAAUGCGCAGAUAUCAGGAGGAACACCGGUGGCGAAGGCGGGACUCUGGGCUGUAACUGACACUG
This 690-nucleotide ribosomal RNA is filed under the name Brevibacterium epidermidis. Its description in RNAcentral is "bacterial SSU rRNA". It matches the Rfam family "Bacterial small subunit ribosomal RNA", at positions 45 to 748 of the family's 1533-position model. Lineage: Bacteria; Bacillati; Actinomycetota; Actinomycetes; Micrococcales; Brevibacteriaceae. The record is from RNAcentral.